RNAcentral lists this ribosomal RNA (1038 nucleotides) under Latilactobacillus curvatus. RNAcentral's name for it is "bacterial SSU rRNA". It matches the Rfam family "Bacterial small subunit ribosomal RNA", at positions 51 to 1047 of the family's 1533-position model. The record is from RNAcentral. Lineage: Bacteria; Bacillati; Bacillota; Bacilli; Lactobacillales; Lactobacillaceae.
AUACAUGCAAGUCGAACGCACUCUCGUUAGAUUGAAGAAGCUUGCUUCUGAUUGAUAACAUUUGAGUGAGUGGCGGACGGGUGAGUAACACGUGGGUAACCUGCCCUAAAGUGGGGGAUAACAUUUGGAAACAGAUGCUAAUACCGCAUAAAACCUAGCACCGCAUGGUGCAAGGUUGAAAGAUGGUUUCGGCUAUCACUUUAGGAUGGACCCGCGGUGCAUUAGUUAGUUGGUGAGGUAAAGGCUCACCAAGACCGUGAUGCAUAGCCGACCUGAGAGGGUAAUCGGCCACACUGGGACUGAGACACGGCCCAGACUCCUACGGGAGGCAGCAGUAGGGAAUCUUCCACAAUGGACGAAAGUCUGAUGGAGCAACGCCGCGUGAGUGAAGAAGGUUUUCGGAUCGUAAAACUCUGUUGUUGGAGAAGAACGUAUUUGAUAGUAACUGAUCAGGUAGUGACGGUAUCCAACCAGAAAGCCACGGCUAACUACGUGCCAGCAGCCGCGGUAAUACGUAGGUGGCAAGCGUUGUCCGGAUUUAUUGGGCGUAAAGCGAGCGCAGGCGGUUUCUUAAGUCUGAUGUGAAAGCCUUCGGCUCAACCGAAGAAGUGCAUCGGAAACUGGGAAACUUGAGUGCAGAAGAGGACAGUGGAACUCCAUGUGUAGCGGUGAAAUGCGUAGAUAUAUGGAAGAACACCAGUGGCGAAGGCGGCUGUCUGGUCUGUAACUGACGCUGAGGCUCGAAAGCAUGGGUAGCAAACAGGAUUAGAUACCCUGGUAGUCCAUGCCGUAAACGAUGAGUGCUAGGUGUUGGAGGGUUUCCGCCCUUCAGUGCCGCAGCUAACGCAUUAAGCACUCCGCCUGGGGAGUACGACCGCAAGGUUGAAACUCAAAGGAAUUGACGGGGGCCCGCCACAAGCGGUGGAGCAUGUGGUUUAAUUCGAAGCAACGCGAGAACCCUUACCAGGUCUUGACAUCCCUUUGACCACUUCUAGAGAUAGAGCUUUCCUUCGGGGACAAAGUGACAGGUGGUGCAUG